Molecule: transfer RNA, 59 nt
Filed under: Taeniatherum caput-medusae
Lineage: Eukaryota; Viridiplantae; Streptophyta; Magnoliopsida; Poales; Poaceae
Description: partial tRNA-Met
Rfam family: tRNA
About the family: Transfer RNA (tRNA) molecules are approximately 80 nucleotides in length. Their secondary structure includes four short double-helical elements and three loops (D, anti-codon, and T loops).
Source: RNAcentral
GAGUAUAGAGCAGUUUGGUAGCUCAUAAGGCUCAUAACCUUGGGGUUGCGGGUUCGAUU